GACGAACGCUGGCGGCGUGCCUAAUACAUGCAAGUCGAGCGGACUUAAAAAGCUUGCUUUUUAAGUUAGCGGCGGACGGGUGAGUAACACGUGGGCAACCUGCCUGUAAGACUGGGAUAACUUCGGGAAACCGGAGCUAAUACCGGAUAAUCCUUUUCUACUCAUGUAGAAAAGCUGAAAGACGGUUUACGCUGUCACUUACAGAUGGGCCCGCGGCGCAUUAGCUAGUUGGUGAGGUAACGGCUCACCAAGGCGACGAUGCGUAGCCGACCUGAGAGAGUGAUAGGCCACACUGGGACUGAAACACGGCCCAGACUCCUACGGGAGGCAGCAGUAGGGAAUCUUCCGCAAUGGACGAAAGUCUGACGGAGCAACGCCGCGUGAGUGAUGAAGGUUUUCGGAUCGUAAAACUCUGUUGUUAGGGAAGAACAAGUACGAGAGUAACUGCUCGUACCUUGACGGUACCUAACCAGAAAGCCACGGCUAACUACGUG
RNAcentral lists this ribosomal RNA (494 nucleotides) under uncultured bacterium. RNAcentral's name for it is "partial 16S ribosomal RNA". It matches the Rfam family "Bacterial small subunit ribosomal RNA", at positions 28 to 507 of the family's 1533-position model. The record is from RNAcentral.